GCUAGGUGAAGCGGCGUACCCCUGUAAUCCCAGUGUCUAGAGAGGCUGAGGCAGGAGGAUUGUGAGUUCAAAGCUAGCCUCAGCAAAAGCGAGGCACUUAGCAACUCAGUGAAACCCUGUCUCUA
RNAcentral lists this small RNA (125 nucleotides) under Marmota monax (woodchuck). The record is from RNAcentral. Lineage: Eukaryota; Metazoa; Chordata; Mammalia; Rodentia; Sciuridae.